UUUAAUUCAUUUUAACUCAAAAUUGAGUCAUUCCAGUUGCAAUAAGUUUGUUUUAAUAUUGUCUACCAACUAGUAACACUGUUUAGCCAUGAAAAUUGAAUUAAAAUUGUUCACUUGAAUUAGUCUAUGUCAGGCAUUAAAUAACUUCAAAAAUUCAUAUCUAAACAAUCGUAGCUCCGAAUUUAGUGUUUCUUGUUCCCACGAUCUCAUAGCAACGUAUAGAUUAUUAAUAUAUAUUUUGUUCUGAUGUUUAGUGUGAUGUUAAUUCUGCCUAUACCAUGUUUGUCUAUAUUGCUACGACUAGCGCGAGGUCGCGUGUCAUCUGAAAGGCAAGUUGGUACCUGGAAUCUCAAGUGCCAGGCAAGUUGUGCCCUUGAUCACUUCUUUUACCCACUCAUGUUCUAAUUAAUCAUAAUGAUCUGCAUAGGUUAAUUUUGAUGGGACCUAAUAGGUUACCCUAGUUUGUCUAUUUUUAUGCCUUGUUUACCAUUGAACUUUUUGGGUAGUACUUGCUAGUGCUAUAUGUGGUUUUGGGCAUUGAGAUACACAUUAUUCAUGAUUAUACUUUUGUUAUCCGUUGUUAUUUACUGUUCAUGUCAAGAUCAUUAAUGUCAAUUGGAACAUAGAGCUUAACUUGAGAAACACGUGCCACCACAAGGGUUUAUGGACGCCCUUGGCUGAUUAAUUAGGAAAGCUAGUGGAGGACUACCUUACCCGAAAGGGGCAAGGGCAGUAGGGGAGUGGUCAGUGUAGGGAGGUCCUUGGUUGAUUUUGCUGCGAUGGCGGUCAGGCAAGAACCCUGCAUUGGAGCUUCCUAUAAACUGUAGCGGGUUUUCUGAAGCUAGUGGAACUUUGUAAAGGCCUCGUAGUGUUACCCUGCCUCGCCUCCUCGGUAGAGGUGUAUGGGAAGUCGCGAUCCCUUGGCAGAUGGGUAACAUGACUUGUGGGUAAAGGGUACCAGCUCUGCAGAGUGUAAAACUGGUAUACUAGCCGAGCUCACGGUCAUGAGCAGCUCAGGACUCUCUGAUGAUUAAUUUAUGGAACUAAAUUCAAUUUGUCAUAUGCAUUGCAUCGCAGGUGAUGUUGUUACUUUUGUUCUACUACUUAAUUGGGUUGGUAUUUACUUAUACUUAGUAAUUGCUAAUAAAAUUUUGACCAACCUUAAAAGCAAAGCUCAGCUCUAACCGUCCUCUUUGGUAAGCCUUACACUUCACGUGAGCUCCCACCUUUGGCGAGUUCAUGCACAUUGUUCCCCACAACUUGUUGAGCGAUGAACGUAUGUGAGCUCACUCUUGCUGUCUCACCCCCCCACAGGUCAAUAACAGGUACCACAGGAUGAGGCGCAUGGAGGAUGCUGUGGCGAGUUCGUGAGAGAUCUAGGCCGUCGUCUCCCAGUCAACUUUGGGUUGCUGGACCGUUGUCUCCUUAUAAUGUAAUUAUUUAUUUUGUAUAGAACUCCUGUUAUGUAGUAAAGAUGUGACAUUCGAUCUUGUGCCAUGAUUCAUCAUAUGUGUGAGACUUGGUCCCAGCACACCUGAUGAUUAUGUUCGCA
This 1552-nucleotide long non-coding RNA is filed under the name Zea mays. RNAcentral describes it as "long non-coding RNA (ZMAY_LNC005144)". The record is from RNAcentral. Lineage: Eukaryota; Viridiplantae; Streptophyta; Magnoliopsida; Poales; Poaceae.